UCACUGAGCACCUUCCACAUACAAGAUAGUGGGCUAGGCACCAGGAAUACAACAGGAAACACACUAGACAUGGCUCUGCCCUCACGGGGCUUUUCUAAUACCACAGUUCAGUAGAUGAUGAUAUCCUUACUGGACCAGACACACAACCAACUUCAUUUACUCCAGAAUUGGGCUCCACAGUUGCAGCUGUCCUGGGAAGCACAUAGGCUCAGAUUCCAUACCCUGAGUGGUAAGGUCUUGAGCAUUUUGGCUCUUAAUCACUCACUGAAGUAGAAAGAAUCCACCUCCUUGCCCAAGCACUGAGUCCCUGGUGUCAAGCCCGAGUGACCAACUGAGAAUGCACUUGCCCUUCAGAAACGUGUGGAAUGGAUGAUUCCAGCCUCCAAAAUUGUCCCCAGUGAUCCUCGACUUCUGGUGUUCAUGCCAUUGUGUAGUCCCCACCCACAUGGUAUCAGAUUUGGUCUGUAUAACCUACAGAGACAGGAUAAGUCACUUCUAAUGCUAGGUCAUAAAAAUUCUGAGGCUUUCUCCUUUUGCUGUCUCUUGGAUCACUUUCUCUGAGGGAUUCAGAUGCUAUGUUGUGAGAAUACUCAGACAGCUCAUGGAGAGACCCACAUGAGGCCUCCUUCUAACAACAUGUGAGUGAGCCAUCUGAGAGGGGAAUCCUUCAGCCCCAGUCAAGCCUUCAGAUGCCUGCUGCCCCUGCAGACAUUCUAACUGCAACUUCAUGAGAGAGCCUGAGCCAAAACCAUCCAGCUGAGCCACUCCCAAAUUCCUU
RNAcentral lists this long non-coding RNA (778 nucleotides) under Homo sapiens (human). Its description in RNAcentral is "HSALNT0326355". The record is from RNAcentral. Lineage: Eukaryota; Metazoa; Chordata; Mammalia; Primates; Hominidae.